Molecule: ribosomal RNA, 279 nt
Filed under: uncultured bacterium
Lineage: Bacteria
Description: partial 16S ribosomal RNA
Rfam family: Bacterial small subunit ribosomal RNA
Source: RNAcentral
UGCCAGCCGCCGCGGUAAUACGGAGGGGGCUAGCGUUAUUCGGAUUUACUGGGCGUAAAGAGCAUGUAGGCGGAUUGGACAGUUGGAGGUGAAAUCCCGGAGCUCAACUCCGGAACUGCCUUCAAUACUUCCAGUCUAGAAUCUGUAAGGGGGUGGUGGAAUUCCGAGUGUAGAGGUGAAAUUCGUAGAUAUUCGGAGGAACACCAGUGGCGAAGGCGGCUUUCUGGACCGAUACUGACGCUGAGACGCGAAAGCGUGGGGAGCAAACAGGAUUAGAUA